Molecule: ribosomal RNA, 488 nt
Filed under: uncultured bacterium
Lineage: Bacteria
Description: bacterial SSU rRNA
Rfam family: Bacterial small subunit ribosomal RNA
Source: RNAcentral
GAUGAACGCUAGCGGGAGGCUUAACACAUGCAAGUCGAGGGGCAGCAUAGGGUAGCAAUACUCUGAUGGCGACCGGCAAACGGGUGAGUAACGCGUAUGCAACCUACCCUGUACAGGGGGAUAACCCGGAGAAAUUCGGACUAAUAUCCCGUAAUAAUAUCCGGAGGCAUCUUUGGAUAUUUAAAGUUCCGACGGUACGGGAUGGGCAUGCGUAACAUUAGCUGGUUGGUAAGGUAACGGCUUACCAAGGCUAUGAUGUUUAGGGGUCCUGAGAGGGUGGUCCCCCACACUGGUACUGAGACACGGACCAGACUCCUACGGGAGGCAGCAGUGAGGAAUAUUGGUCAAUGGGCGCAAGCCUGAACCAGCCAUCCCGCGUGCAGGAAGACGACCCUAAUGGGUUGUAAACUGCUUUUCCAGGGAGAGAAACUUACGCACGUGUUGCGUGACUGACGGUACCCUGGGAAUAAGCAUCGGCUAACUCCGUG